GGCUCUGUGGCGCAAUGGAUAGCGCGUUGGACUUCUAAUUCAAAGGUUGUGGGUUCGAGUCCCACCAGAGUCG
Non-coding RNA from Gadus morhua (Atlantic cod), 73 nucleotides. The record is from the annotation of a RefSeq genome assembly. Lineage: Eukaryota; Metazoa; Chordata; Actinopteri; Gadiformes; Gadidae.